Molecule: ribosomal RNA, 529 nt
Filed under: uncultured bacterium
Lineage: Bacteria
Description: bacterial SSU rRNA
Rfam family: Bacterial small subunit ribosomal RNA
Source: RNAcentral
CAGCAAGGGAUAUUGCGCAAUGGGCGAAAGCCUGACGCAGCAACGCCGCGUGGAGGACGAAGGCCUUCGGGUUGUAAACUCCUUUUCUGGGAGAAUAGAAAGGAAGGUACCCCAGGAAUAAGAUCCGGCUAACUACGUGCCAGCAGCCGCGGUAAAACGUAGGGAUCGAGCGUUAUCCGGAAUUACUGGGCGUAAAGCGCGUGCAGGCGGCUUGUUAAGUCGGACGUAAAAGCUCCUGGCCCAACUGGGAGAGGCCGUUCGAAACUAGCGAGCUAGAGGGUAGUAGAGGCAAGUGGAAUUCCCGGUGUAGUGGUGAAAUGCGUAGAUAUCGGGAGGAACACCAGAGGCGAAGGCGGCUUGCUGGGCUAGCCCUGACGCUAAGACGCGAAAGCCAGGGGAGAGAACGGGAUUAGAAACCCCGGUAUUCCUGGCUGUAAACGAUGUCAACUAGGUGCGUGGGGUAACCAAUCCCUGCGUGCUGCCGCCAACGCAGUAAGUUGACCGCCUGGGGAGUACGGCCGCAAGGCUA